This 59-nucleotide transfer RNA is filed under the name Nitrobacter winogradskyi Nb-255. It matches the Rfam family "tRNA", at positions 17 to 71 of the family's 71-position model. From Rfam's summary of the family: Transfer RNA (tRNA) molecules are approximately 80 nucleotides in length. Lineage: Bacteria; Pseudomonadati; Pseudomonadota; Alphaproteobacteria; Hyphomicrobiales; Nitrobacteraceae. The record is from Rfam by way of RNAcentral.
GGAACCGUAGUAGCGGAUUUCUACUCCGCGGGUUGCAGGUUCGAAUCCUGCCGGGAUCG